Molecule: ribosomal RNA, 126 nt
Filed under: Dolichovespula saxonica
Lineage: Eukaryota; Metazoa; Arthropoda; Insecta; Hymenoptera; Vespidae
Also listed under: 1 other name
Description: partial 28S ribosomal RNA
Source: RNAcentral
ACAGCCGUUGCACACGAGUCAGUCGAUCCUAAGCCCUAGGAGAAAUCCUAUGUCGAUGACGGUGUGCAUACAUAAUGUUGUUCGUAAAUGACGACACACACCCGUCGGGCGAAAGGGAAUCCGGUU